This 253-nucleotide ribosomal RNA is filed under the name uncultured bacterium. RNAcentral describes it as "partial 16S ribosomal RNA". It matches the Rfam family "Bacterial small subunit ribosomal RNA", at positions 524 to 776 of the family's 1533-position model. The record is from RNAcentral.
GACGAACCGUGCGAACGUUGUUCGGAAUCACUGGGCUUAAAGGGCGCGUAGGCGGGCCAUCAAGUCAGGGGUGAAAUACCUCAGCUUAACUGAGGAACAGCUUUUGAUACUGGUGGCCUCGAGGGGGGUAGGGGCAUGCGGAACUUCCGGUGGAGCGGUGAAAUGCGUAGAUAUCGGAAGGAACGCCGGUGGCGAAAGCGGCGUGCUGGACCCUUUCUGACGCUGAGGCGCGAAAGCCAGGGGAGCAAACGGG